Non-coding RNA from Paramuricea clavata, 476 nucleotides. Lineage: Eukaryota; Metazoa; Cnidaria; Anthozoa; Malacalcyonacea; Plexauridae. The record is from the annotation of a GenBank genome assembly.
CGUUAAUCAAGAGAUUUAUACAAUUUUUGCACGCUCGGAUGAACUUCUUGUAAUUAACAAUAAACUUUUUAAGUUUAACAAAUAGCAAUACAAAUGUCAUACAAAUAUCAACACGAAUACCUAGAAUAACAAAUCUUUCAAUAAAACAACAUCGCAAGUGUUGUCUUUAUAGCUCUGCGUUUCUUACGCUAAUUAUUUCAAGUUUGGGGUUCGACGAGAGAACACAGGCAACCCUAGUCCCCUAGCAAGCAAAUACCAAGGGAAAGCAAGGGAGCAGCAUGCAUUCAAGGGUGUAUUAUUUACAGCAUAUUACAUAGAAUAUUUAAUUGAGCCUGUGCACAUCAUGUAUUACCCUGUACUGAUACAGAAUGUGCACAGAAAUAUAUCGCAGAAAAUGAAGUUGUAAACAUUUCAAUAUUUCAAGCUGUAAAGUUUUAAUUUUAGUAAAAAGCCUAAAAGUUGCUCAGAAAUUGCUC